GGAAUUCGAUUGGGGCACAAGACGGUGGAGCAUGGUGGGUGUUAAUGUCGAUGCAACGCGAAGAACCUUACCAGGGCUUGACAUGGUGCAGAACCCUCUUGAAAGGGAGGGGUGCCUUCGGGAGCUGCAACACAGGUGGUGCAUGGCUGGUUCGUCAGGCCUCGUGUUCGUGAGAAUGUUUGGGUUUAAGUCCCCGCAAACGAGCGCAACCCUCGUUUCUAGUUGCCAUCAUUAAGUUGGGCACUCUGGAGAGAACUGCCGGUGACAAACCGGAGGAAGGUGGGGAUGACGUCAAGUCCUCAUGGCCCUUAUGGGCUGGGCUACACACGUGCUACAAUGGCGGUGACAGUGGGACGCCAGGUCGCAAGGCCGAGCCGAUCCCCAAAAGCCGUCUCAGUUCGGAUUGCACUCUGCAACUCGGGUGCAUGAAGGUGGAAUCGCUAGUAAUCGUGGAUCAGCACGCCACGGUGAAUACGUUCCCGGGC
RNAcentral lists this ribosomal RNA (485 nucleotides) under uncultured bacterium. RNAcentral's name for it is "bacterial SSU rRNA". It matches the Rfam family "Bacterial small subunit ribosomal RNA", at positions 923 to 1375 of the family's 1533-position model. The record is from RNAcentral.